RNAcentral lists this long non-coding RNA (2540 nucleotides) under Penaeus monodon (black tiger shrimp). RNAcentral's name for it is "uncharacterized LOC119596497". The record is from RNAcentral. Lineage: Eukaryota; Metazoa; Arthropoda; Malacostraca; Decapoda; Penaeidae.
GCGUCAAAAUUUAGUGUUGUAAGCGACGUACACUCAAGCUGAGACAACCACCUUCGCUAUGUUCGUUAAAUUUACGCUUUGUUGCCCAUUGUUUAAGGUCAUUUAGUGUCCCCGGCUUGUUCAUUCCUUUCUCUGUCAGUGUAACGAGAGCAUAUAUGGUCAGUGGGUGAAGCGACAAUGUUACGCGAUAUAACGUCAGUAUUACUUGGUGGCUCCAAAGGGCUGCCCCCGACACUCGCCUUCCUCUUCAAGCUGGCCUGGGCCUCACGAGUACGCCUCCCCUUACUCAUAGCGAUCGGAUUCAUGGUAACCAACAUUCACCUGCGUCUUGAAAUCAACGUGAACAUUGAGGUUGGCGAAGACGAUCCCCCUCCUAAUGACCAGCAGCAGCAGUUGCAAUUGGCUCAUGAUUAAGGUCAAUAUAUGUGGUGUUGAAUAUGCGUACCUGCUGGACUUAAUGUAUUUUCAUGUAUUUUAAAUUUCAUGAUGGUGAGCGAGAUGUAUUAUCACUUCUUGGUAUUUAGUUGUGUUGUCGUUUUAAUGUAAUUGUUCAAAUGAAUUAGGCACUUAUAAAUGAGACUGAAUUUGAUUAUAUUUCAAUAUGUAGUUAUGCAAAGUGUAAACAUGGAAAUCUGAUAUUACAAGCAGGAUAUGCAUACUUUUCAUUUCAAGAAAGUUGAUUGAUAUUUAAAUGAAAAAAUAUAUGACCUUUUUUUUUUAAUGUAUUUGUCAGUGUGAGUGCUGGAGUCACCUUUGAAAGAUCUUUAUUCUUAUGUUUGAAUAUUCAUUUUGCAUUUUAUAUAUUGUGUUUUCAGUCAGUAUCUGACAAUGGAAAUAUUGUUUUAUUGUGGGAAAUAAAGGUGAAGACAUUGCAAAAUGUAUCUCUUGAGUCAUUUAAGGAAAGUCUUGUUCUUGGAUUCAUUUGCAAAAUGGUUAUAAUCCCAGUAUAUGAAUGUUUUAGUAUUAUUUGAAAUUGAAGGAUGAUUAACAGAGAGAGAAUUUUGUAAAAUACAUUUUCUUUUUUCCUUAUUGACUCUUGAAUUUUCAUGCAAAUCUAAAUUAAUAAAUCUCAUGAUUGCAGUUCAGUUGCAUACACCUUAUGGAGAGUACCUCACCUCUGAAUUAAUGAUAAUAAUAAUAAAAAAAAUUAUUUACAAAAGGCUUACCAUACAAGAAUGUCCAUCAUUUGAUGUUAUGAUGAUCCCAGUUGUAUAUUUACUUACCAUAUAUGGGUUAUAUAUAUCAAAUAUAUGGCUGUGACCUACCCCCAUUUAGUACAUUUGUCUCAGAAUCAAGGAGUCUGGAUCACAGAGAUGAGAAUUUAUGUGCAGGAUGUGUGUGCUAUCCUUAGUUCCUUUGUUACUUUAUGUAUCAAUUUAUUCACUUUCCUUUAAUUAUUUAUUAUGAAAGACAACUGUGCAUGUCUUUUUUUUUCUGUUUAAUAAGCGUGGGUACUAUUCUGCAUAUACACACGUCAGCAUGUGUGUAUGUACAUGCAUGUGUAUUAUGUAAUAGCUUAUCUAUAUGUUAAUGUAUAUGAAUUUUCAUAGAUGGUACUUGAUAAUUUUUCUUAGAAAAUGAAGAUUCAGAUACUGCUAUUUAUACCUGAACAGUAUACUUUCAUUGUUACUAUGUCUGUUUUCUUUGGAAUUCAAUUUGUUUUUAUUUUUAUUUAUUUAUCUAUUUUUUAUUAUUGAUAUUAUUAUUAUUAUUAAUUGAUGGUAUUAUUAUUAUUUUAUUAUUAUUAUUAUUGAACUUGUGUAUAUCAGUUUACAUUAUUAUUGUUUUCAUUAUUUUAAUCAUUAUUAAUAAUAAGUUUUAUUGUUCAUAAAGAAAAUGUGGACCUUCUUUUCUUUCAGUAGAAUAAAUGGUUUUUAAUCAGAUGCAAAUGUAAAAAUUGUAUAUAAUAAUAUAUACAAUUUGUGAUUAUCAGAUGAAUCCAUAUUACAAUUUGUUUUCAUGCCCUCAGUUUUUAUUAUUAUUAUUAUUAUUAUUAUUAUUAUUAUUAUUAUAAAUUUAACAUAAUUUUUAAAUUGAAAUAUCUUCCUCCUUUCAGUCUGUAUGUAUAGUAAAGAUUCAAUUGAAUUGGAGUUUAGCUUCAUAUCUGUAGGAAGCACUACAUGACUAUUUAUUUAUUUAUAUCAUAAUGUUAUACAAUAAAGGUAACUUGAUAAAUAUUAGUACCCUUUCAAUAGAUAUUGGCCAGUGUCCUUUCACUUCAUCAGCGGCAUAUUUUCAACAGUGUGAUUCUGUAAUGUGUAGGUCCCAAUAAGGGAGGUCCUUCUAAAUAAUAUUAUGUAAGAUUCCUCUACCUGAGACUGUCUUUAUGAACUUGCAUAAGCUUUAACUUAUCAUACUGUAUUACCAAAGUUUCUGUACUUCUUUCUAUUUUCACGUGCUGCCUUAAAUAAUCAACUGAUGCGAGUGUACGUGUGCUCCGCUGUACACUUUUCUCUUGAACUGUUCUUGAACGACCUUUAAAUAUUAGUGUUUUUCCGAGAUUUUAUGUCUUGAUUUGAAAUAUAUUUUGUGAAAAGUGA